AUGCAGUCGAACGGUAACAGGCCGCAAGGUGCUGACGAGUGGCGAACGGGUGAGUAACACAUCGGAACGUGCCUGAUAGUGGGGGAUAACUACUCGAAAGAGUGGCUAAUACCGCAUAAGAUCUCAGGAUGAAAGCAGGGGACCGCAAGGCCUUGCGCUAACAGAGCGGCCGAUGGCAGAUUAGGUAGUUGGUGGGAUAAAAGCUUACCAAGCCGACGAUCUGUAGCUGGUCUGAGAGGACGACCAGCCACACUGGGACUGAGACACGGCCCAGACUCCUACGGGAGGCAGCAGUGGGGAAUUUUGGACAAUGGGCGCAAGCCUGAUCCAGCAAUGCCGCGUGCAGGAUGAAGGCCUUCGGGUUGUAAACUGCUUUUGUACGGAACGAAAAGCUUCUCUCUAAUACAGGGGGGCCAUGACGGUACCGUAAGAAUAAGCACCGGCUAACUACGUGCCAGCAGCCCCCCGGUAAA
Molecule: ribosomal RNA, 473 nt
Filed under: activated sludge bacterium LB10
Lineage: Bacteria
Description: bacterial SSU rRNA
Rfam family: Bacterial small subunit ribosomal RNA
Source: RNAcentral